AGUCGCACGACAUGCGCCUCGUCUACCGCCGCGACGGCGUCCUCCCCCUCCUCCGCGCGCCGCUCGUCCUCCAGGAGUUCGUCAACCACGGCGGGGUGCUCUUCAAGGUCUACGUCGUCGGCGACCGCGCCACCUGCGUGCGCCGGAGCAGCCUCCCCGACGUGCCGGCCCGCCGCCUCCUCGACCUGGACGCCGAGCCCUCCGUCCCCUUCGCCAACAUCUCCAACCAGCCGCUCCCCCCACCUGAUGACGACGGCGGCGCCGCCGACGACGACACGCCGGCCGCCGGCUUCGUGGACGAGGUGGCGCGCGGGCUCCGGCGAGGGCUGGGCCUGCACCUGUUCAACUUCGACAUGAUCCGGGAGAGGAGCGAGGAGCACGGCGACAGGUACUUCAUCAUCGACAUCAACUACUUCCCGGGCUACGCCAAGAUGCCGGGCUACGAGGCGGCCCUCACGGAUUUCUUCCUUGAGAUGCUCCGUGGCACAAGACCUGUUCCUGAGCAGCUGGGCCCGGGCUCGGGCCUGGACAUGGAGGCCCGCAAGCUCGAGCCUGGGCUGGGUAUCGGUCUAAGAGAAUUGGAG
Molecule: long non-coding RNA, 584 nt
Filed under: Oryza sativa (Asian cultivated rice)
Lineage: Eukaryota; Viridiplantae; Streptophyta; Magnoliopsida; Poales; Poaceae
Description: long non-coding RNA (OSAT_LNC000349)
Source: RNAcentral